GAUAAGAUGGCUGAGUAGGUGCUAGAUUAUAAAUCUAAGCACAGAGGUUCAGCCCUCUUUUUAUCA
Transfer RNA from Cavia porcellus (domestic guinea pig), 66 nucleotides. It matches the Rfam family "tRNA". From Rfam's summary of the family: Transfer RNA (tRNA) molecules are approximately 80 nucleotides in length. Their secondary structure includes four short double-helical elements and three loops (D, anti-codon, and T loops). NCBI's taxonomy places the organism in Eukaryota, Metazoa, Chordata, Mammalia, Rodentia, Caviidae. The record is from Rfam.